GAUGAACGCUGGCGGCGUGCUUAACACAUGCAAGUCGAACGGGAAACCUUUUAAUGAAGCUUCGGCAGAUUUAGCUGGUUUCUAGUGGCGGACGGGUGAGUAACGCGUGGGUAACCUGCCCUAUACAGGGGGAUACCAACCAGAAAUGGUUGCUAAUACCGCAUAAGCGCACAGGACCGCAUGGUCCGGUGUGAAAAACUCCGGUGGUAUAGGAUGGACCCGCGUUGGAUUAGCCAGUUGGCAGGGUAACGGCCUACCAAAGCGACGAUCCAGAGCCGGCCUGAGAGGGUGAACGGCCACAUUGGGACUGAGACACGGCCCAGACUCAUACGGGAGGCAGCAGUGGGGAAUAUUGCACAAUGGGGGAAACCCUGAUGCAGCGACGCCGCGUGAAGGAAGAAGUAUCUCGGUAUGUAAACUUCUAUCAGCAGGGAAGAUAGUGACGGUACCUGACUAAGAAGCCCCGGCUAACUACGUGCCAGCAGCCGCCGUAA
This 494-nucleotide ribosomal RNA is filed under the name uncultured bacterium. RNAcentral's name for it is "partial 16S ribosomal RNA". It matches the Rfam family "Bacterial small subunit ribosomal RNA", at positions 28 to 523 of the family's 1533-position model. The record is from RNAcentral.